This 292-nucleotide ribosomal RNA is filed under the name uncultured microorganism. RNAcentral describes it as "partial 16S ribosomal RNA". It matches the Rfam family "Bacterial small subunit ribosomal RNA", at positions 505 to 796 of the family's 1533-position model. The record is from RNAcentral.
GUGCCAGCAGCCGCGGUAAUACGUAGGGGGCAAGCGUUAUCCGGAUUUACUGGGUGUAAAGGGAGCGUAGACGGUGAUGUAAGUCAGAUGUGAAAGCCCAGGGCUCAACCCUGGGACUGCAUUUGAAACUAUGUGACUAGAGUGCAGGAGAGGUAAGUGGAAUUCCUAGUGUAGCGGUGAAAUGCGUAGAUAUUAGGAGGAACACCAGUGGCGAAGGCGGCUUACUGGACUGUAACUGACGUUGAGGCUCGAAAGCGUGGGGAGCAAACAGGAUUAGAUACCCUGGUAGUCC